RNAcentral lists this ribosomal RNA (253 nucleotides) under uncultured bacterium. RNAcentral describes it as "partial 16S ribosomal RNA". It matches the Rfam family "Bacterial small subunit ribosomal RNA", at positions 524 to 776 of the family's 1533-position model. The record is from RNAcentral.
UACGGAGGAUCCAAGCGUUAUCCGGAUUUAUUGGGUUUAAAGGGUGCGUAGGCGGCUUAUUAAGUCAGGGGUGAAAGACGGUGGCUCAACCAUCGCAGUGCCUUUGAUACUGAUGAGCUUGAAUGAACUUGAGGUAGGCGGAAUGAGACAAGUAGCGGUGAAAUGCAUAGAUAUGUCUCAGAACACCAAUUGCGAAGGCAGCUUACUAAGGUUUAAUUGACGCUGAGGCACGAAAGCGUGGGGAUCAAACAGG